This is a long non-coding RNA of Daktulosphaira vitifoliae (grape phylloxera), 800 nucleotides long. RefSeq lists it as uncharacterized. NCBI's taxonomy places the organism in Eukaryota, Metazoa, Arthropoda, Insecta, Hemiptera, Phylloxeridae. The record is from RefSeq and is a predicted model, not a curated record. The transcript has 2 exons.
GUCAGACCUUCCGGAACACUUUCAAAAGUUACGUUGAAAAAGUUCUACUUUCUAUAUGCAUUUUUAUGUUUUGAAUCCCCCCUGUAUUUAGGGAAAUGGUCCGAUUUAAAAAAACAGUAUGUCGAAUGAAAGAUCUAUAUAAAUACUACUUCUUAUAAAAAAUUUGUAAUGAUUCAUUCAUUUUUCAAAAAGUUAUAGCAUAAUAAAGUUAAAAAUGGAAAAUACAAAAUCGAAAAUUUUCACACAAAAAUAGCAUUCGGUAGCCAUUUUCACCAUGAAGAUAAGAUAAAGUCCGAAAUUUUUUUUUUUCAUGAUAAAGCAUAUUACAUUAGCUUUAAUUUAAGAUAUAUAUAAAAGUGUCAGACCUUCCGGAACAUUUUCAAAAUUUAAGUUAAAAAAAUUAAUUUUUUGUGAAAAAGUUGUCAUUUUAAAUCCCCCCUUGUGGGCAGGUUAAGGGUUAAAUUUAUGAAAAAAAUAUACCAAAUGAAAGGUAAUGAUAUUAUGCAUCUAUAUAAAAAAGAAUUAUAUUGAUAUGUUCAUUUUUGAAAAAGUUAUGGCACUUUUAAGUAAAAAAAAUUGAAAAAAUUUCGAAAAUUAGCGAUUUUUAAAUUUGUAAUUUUUUUGGAGGUUUCCUCCAUUUACGGGGAACGAGGGAAUUUUUUUCAAUUUUUGAGGGUAAUGUCUUCGACUAGAUACGAUUUGUGAUCUUUUGACGUAUCAUUGAAAGAAAUCGGUUCGGUGAGAGCUGAGAAAAAGUGGUAACAGACACAAAAAAAAAAAAAAAAAAAAAAAAAAAAACA